RNAcentral lists this ribosomal RNA (468 nucleotides) under uncultured bacterium. Its description in RNAcentral is "partial 16S ribosomal RNA". It matches the Rfam family "Bacterial small subunit ribosomal RNA", at positions 28 to 507 of the family's 1533-position model. The record is from RNAcentral.
GACGAACGCUGGCGGCGCGCCUAACACAUGCAAGUCGAACGGAGUCAAGAGGAGCUUGCUUUUCUUGACUUAGUGGCGAACGGGUGAGUAACGCGAGAGUAACCCGCCCUGGAGUGGGGGACAACAGUUGGAAACGACUGCUAAUACCGCAUAAGCCCACGGAUCUGCAUGGGUCUGCGGGAAAAGGAUUUAUUCGCGCUAGGAUGGACUCGCGUCCAAUUAGCUAGGUGGUGGGGUAACGGCCCACCAAGGCGACGAAUGGUAGCCGGACGGAGGGGCGGACCGGCCGCGUUGGGGCUACGACCCAGCCCACACUCCGACGGAGCGGAGCAGUAGGGGGUAUUGCGCGAGGAAGGAAACCCUGAUGCAGCGACGCCGCGUAGAGGAAGAAGGUUUUCGGAUUGUAAUCUCCUGUCGUAAGGGACGAUAAUGACGGUACCUAGCAAGAAAGCACCGGCUAACUACGUG